This is a non-coding RNA of Misgurnus anguillicaudatus (oriental weatherfish), 1718 nucleotides long. NCBI's taxonomy places the organism in Eukaryota, Metazoa, Chordata, Actinopteri, Cypriniformes, Cobitidae. The record is from RefSeq and is a predicted model, not a curated record.
GACACACAAGUCAUCAGCCGUUUCCUCAAGGUCACGUCAGGUAAGUGUUUGUAAAUAAAUGUUAAUUUUAGACUAUAUUAAUUGGCAAAGACGCAAAUACUGGACGUUUUUGUAAACAUAUAAGUUAUAUAAAGGUGUGUUAUGUUAUGUGUCCGACUUAAAGUGUGUGUUAUGUUAUGUGUCCGAGUUAAAGUGGAGCUAUUUUAGUUAAGAUAAUACCGGACAGGGUUUAGGACUCCGUCUUAAUUAUAAUUGGGACAUUUUUACAAACAAACCUUAUAAAAUACAAUACUAGUGUGCAUUUUGAGACAAAACAAUAGCACUCAUAUGUUAACAGAUGUCAGUAUUUUAGUCAGUGAUAAGUCCUGUCCGAGAAAACCGCCCAAUAGUGUUUAAUUCAAUUACGUGUGAUGUCUGAGGGAAAUUUGGCAAUUUUAGGGUAUAAAAUCUUUCACCGUCAAGCUUUAUUAUAUUAAACAUGUUAUUUAUGUAUGUGUGUGUGUUUAUAUUCCUCUGUUUAUUAAACCAGAGCGGUGAUGAUGUGGAGAGGCAGAGACCACCACCAUACGCGAAGAUGAGGCUCGAGGUGUGAUAGUUAUUUUUUCAAACUGAGGAGUUCGGACUCCGGACCGGCAUUUCUGCUUGUUUGUACCCUGAGAUAACCAUGGUUAAUAAAUGGUCAGACACGUCACUGGCUUUAAAAUAUAAACCCCAUUGAUGCAAAAAGAUGCUGCAUGGAAUGACAAUGAGGUUUGGAACAGACUUGGUGAAGAACAUGGAAACAUAUCUUAAUAAAAUGGCCCCAAACAUCAUCAGGAGUGCAAAAGAAGGAAGUAAAAAACAUCUCUACGCCAAUCUCAUCGGAGAGGAAACCACAGAAGGUCUGGUGAGGAAUGCUGCACUUAUGUUAUUGUCAGCAUUAUUUCAAGAAAAUCCCAGCUUCCUACUGUAAUAGUGUAAGUAUAGUCUUCUGUAAUUUAGUUAGCAUUUGAGGCACUUUAUUUAAAGUAACAUUCAAUGCAAAUAUAAAAAUAUUACUCUGUUUACCCUUAAAUAGCAUGCAGCUCCACAUCAAUUAUUAUGAGUCUUGUUGGUUCUUGAGUGUCGCUUGCCUAGUUGUCAUACUUUAUUUGUGUUAUUAUGGGGUAAUUUUAAGUCUAUUUGAUGGCUUCUGUUAAUUGGUAAAAAGCACUUAAAAGGUGAAAUGUUUGUUUUACAGGAACCCAAAAGUCCCACAUCAACCACAGUGUUCAACGGCUCUCCUGAUCUUCUCAAAUCUGAAAGUAUCAACUUUAUAAUGGACAAUGUGAACAUAAUAUGUGGAAGACAUUGACAUCACAGGCUGUGGAAUGACUGUUUGCGUUUUUUUUCUCCUCAAUGCCCUUUUGCCAUUAAGCACACAGUGACUUUAAUUUAUAAAAUAUAUGCUUAAAUUUUAAUACCUGUACAAAACAAAUGUACAAUCAACUUGUGUAAAUUGUCAUUCUAUUUAAUAGAUUGUUCAUGAAUUGUCUUUAAAUGCAUUGUGAUUUCGGUAACACUUUACAAUAAGGUUCAUUAGUUAACAUUAGUUAAUGUAUUAACUAACUUGAACAAACCAUGAGCAAUACAUUUGUUACAGUAUUUAUUCAUCUUUGUUAAUGUUAGUUAAUAAAAAUUUAAGCUUUAAUUGCUUGUUCAUGUUAGUUCAUGACAGAGUGCAUUAACUAAUGUUAACA